GGGAAUGGAGAGRUUCUGUAAAGAACAGUCACUGUGGRUUAAUGAACAUCUGUUCUGUUGAAAAUUGGCAUGGCAAGGUGUACUUCAAAUAUUUGCCUCCUCCAAUGUUUUCUAAAAUGAGGUCAUGCCUGUAAAGGACCAGCAGUACAAAGACCCUGAGCUGAUUUUUAUGAAGCUGAAGCACUGUCAGGCUAACUGAAUCUUUAAGGAUAAGAAAAUAGAAGUCCACAAAUCUACCAUUGAAGAAGAGAAACAGAUUCACACUAACACAAGGCAAAAAUUGGAGCUGCUCAGUGAUGGAGAGCCUGGAGUUGUCCUGUCUGACCAGGAGGCGAUGCAAAGGGCCCAGUGUGUACAGAUCAGAGGAGAAUUCACUGCUCAGCUGUUUGCCUUUCUCCCUUCUUAGUCUGCCCCCACAGCCCUGCUGCAAACACCGGAUAUCAGGGCUGUGCAGGAGCUGUAACUUCACUCGUGACUCAGAGAUGUUGGGAACCACGGAUGUGUCAGCCAAGAUGUCUCUGCCUGUUUACAAAGAGCCCAUGCAGUAGUGAGGGUGCUUUAUUCAGCAGUAUUAUCAGGAGCUGUGGGGAGCAGUAGAGAAGUGUGCUGAUUACUCGGGAUGUGGAGACUUCAGUGAGAAUUGAGGAACAGUGAAGAGAAGCAUCCCUGUCUGAUGUGCAGCACAGAUCAUAUGCUGUGUCCAGAUAAAGGAGCAGACACUUUGAGAUCCUGCUUCUCCAGUCAUCCAGGUCAAAGUAACAUCCAGUCAGGCUUUGCAUGGCAUGAGGCAGAAACAGGAUUUUCUAGCAUGGGAACCAGGGCGAAUCUCAGAGCAACUCCACGUUAGAAACCUCAUGUUGCAAGCUGAACUCUGGUCAGACCAAUUUUGUUACUGCUGAUGGGGAAAGAGUAGAARGCAAUGGGCUGGCAAACAGGGAAAAGGCCUUUAACUAAAGGGUAAGAAAUCAGAAGAGAGGAGAUGCUUACAGCACUUUGACUCACMUGAAAACACUCAACAAAUURCAUGCCAAGGUGAAUAGGUUAUUUACACCAGUAGGAGUGAAAAGCAGACUUGUGAGUAGAAGCAACCACUGUCCUCUGUUGGAAACAGCACUGCUGCCUGAUCUGCUAUGGCUGCCCUCCUGUUGUUUUAGUAGCAGGCUGGGCUUGAAUGGUCCCAUUCAGAAAUAUCCAGAGUUCCCAAUGCUGAUCCCAGAGGCAUUGCUUUCCAGUAGACCAAUUCAUCAAUUUUCUCUAAUGCUGUUCAUUCAACGUGCACUGAAAGUGUGCACAUGAUGCAAGUCCCUAUCAUUCUCCUGUGUACGUGUGAUGCCAAAGAAGUGGCAGCCACCAAUGCUGGUUAACUCUUGGAAAUGACAGAAAUCCUGGCUGCUAAUGGCAGAAGGGGAGUSGGAAAUGACAGGCUGGCAAAUGACAGGCUAGCAAAUGACUUGUCAGAAACAGAUAUUUAUAUGAGUGCUGGAAUGCCACUGUCAGAGGUGGACAUUUAGGAGGGGAAACAAAAUAAUGAUAAGAUGCUGAACYCCCUCAUCCCUUUCACUAUGCCYCAGGAAAAGGUAAAUUAUACUCAUYACCCAGCAAAUGUUCUUAAAUUUAGUUCCCACAGGAGAAUUUGCUGAGCCAUAUACACUUGUCCAGUCAGAAUGCCCCUGCUUGUUUCUGUGGUUUGUGUUCUGGUACAUUUGAAGGUUGCUUUUGUAUUUUAGGCAGGCAACAGGCCUUGAAAGAGACUGGCAAGCUUUGAGAGCAGCCUGGGGAUGUUCUUUUUCAGUUAAUUCAUCUCUGUCCUUCUCUCUGCUUUCAGUGGAUGCAAAAGGCAAGGAAGGCUGGCUGGGUCAGUCCAGGAAUAUGAUGGUACCUGUCUGUAUCUGUUUACACCGAGUGGUGUCRUGCAUCCCAACAUCUCUGUCUCCAUGAAGUGUCUGAUUGUUUGGGAUGGAAUGCAGACAUCUGCAUGUAGACAUCCAGCUAGUUUCUACCUUGUUGUUAGAUAUUUUCAGGCAGAAAGAGGGUGACAGCCCCUGCCUCUCCUGUCUGACAGGCACUCUGGAUGGAUGGAAGAGGCUAAAUUAAAACCAGCAGAAGUGGACUUUCUGGUUUUUCUUGAUAACUGGUGUAGAGAAGGGAGCAGUCUGUGCACUGCAAUUAACAUCAAGUGCUAUUGCAACUCGUCCUGUAAUGCGAUAUAGAUACAAUCUCAGCAGAAAAUUGAAUCCUGCGCUGAGUCAGAAGCAGAGCAGUGCUGGGUUUUGAAGAAAGUAAUUAGCCCCAGGGACCCAGUGGUUUCUCAUUUCCCCUGUGGCAAACACAGGGAAGUGGGGCAGUGCUUCCUGUAGGUUUCCAAAAUCAAUUUAGACAAGGUUCAGAGCCAAAUUAUAAAUCAAAUUUUAAAUGAAUACUCAGCAAGGGGCAGGCACACCUUCAUUCUUCCUGCAGUGCCCACCAAGUACCACUCAGUGCCAUUCUGCUGUUCUUUUGUGAGCUCUGAGUGCCCCAUCUCUGUCUGGGCACUGAGCCCAUUGCAGCAAUGCUGUGACAGCGUGUGCCAGACCUUCAGGGUCACCAUUCACCACCCUUGGCCAGGGUGACCUGUGCUCACCUCACCACCUCUGCCUGUCAGCCCUUGGUUCAGCAGUGGCCCAACACUUCCCAAUGCUGCCCUGUGCUUGGCCUUCACUAAAUCAAUGAUUUGAGGUUUUGCAGAACUCAUUGAUCACAAAUUCUGCUUUCUUUCUCCAGCAGAAGAUCAGAAGUGUACAGAAAUAAGACCCUGGUAGCCAAGAAAAUUUUAAUCUUACUAAAGACAGGAUGUACUGGCUGAAAGCUGCAGCUUGAAAUUAAUACAAGAAACAAAKAAUUGACUUGUUCAGGUAAUACAGCAGGGAUAAGAGUAGUCUUUAUUUAUGCUCUGUCUUUAAAUUAGAAUUAAGUUUAGAGCUCAAAUAUGUACAGUCUGCACCUGUUUGGGUGAUGACAAGUUCCACCAUCCAGGAUUCUUGCUCCUGCUCUCCUGACAUAACACUUGUCACCUUUCAGUGGUUUGUCACAUCCAGAAUAAAAUCUGCAGGGCCUUUGGGGCAUAAUCACAUCCUUGUCUCUUAUGAAAUGCAUAGUCAAUUUGAGGCUCUGCAGUGAAAUGAAAUGCUGUGUGUUUCAAUGAGUUUGUCACACUGGUUUGUGAUUCCUGCACCUCUUUUCCCUGAAGCUGCACCCAGCAGUGACAGCCAAUAUCUUACAUGGUUCAUACCUUAUGUGCCUGCAAURAACACUUUUGUUCAACACAUGUCCAGAAGUGCAUGGCCAAUGUAGCCUAGUCUGUGUGCUGCCUCAGAGGAGAGUUUUGCCUCACCCUUCUUUCAUUCAAUUGAUGGAAAAACAAAAGAUCCUAACGAUCAUAAUCUGAAAUAUAAUUAUUUCCCUAGUUUUGUAUCUUAAAAUACUGGACACAGGAGUUUGCUUAGGAAGUAACUGCAAAUCUCAUAAUUUGGACUCUAUAAACUGUCGUGGCUGCUGAUCCCAAGCAYAUUCCCAAUCUUCUGGAUUCCCUAAGUGCCCUCUAGUGACUAAUUCUUUGAACUGUGUUGGGUUUUCACAACGAGGUGAAUGUCGGUGAGACACCAGCCAYUGAAGGGGUGGUUGGUGAGGGCAGGAACAGGAUAAAUGUCCUCAGAUUAUUUUGUGGGCAGCACUGGUUUGUUCUGCAGAAGCAAAUAGAAGUGUUUGUUGAGCAUCUGCAGAAAGCUCCGGGCAGCAAAGGAGAGAAUGUGUAUGUGCUCCUGUUGUGGAAGUAGCAUGUCUGAGCUGAAUGAGUCAAAUCAAGUAAAAACCACUGAAGAAAAACUGUGGGGCUGACACUGCACAACACUUGAAUGGUUUAGGUGAAGUGUGGCAUUAAUGCAAUUUUCCUGAAUAUUAAAGAUUCAUGUUCUUCAAUACUAAUUCACCAUGUUGAAUUUGUUUCCACAAUGAAUUGGCAUCUCAGUUUUCAUGUAAAUGGAUCAGUGCUGUUAGCAUUGCUUUUCAUUCUGCAGCAAAAAGCUGGUUCUUUUUUUCUGGUGGUGCUUUAGGUAUGGGGUUUUUUGGUUGUGUUUUUCCUUUUUCUGAGUUAAAAAUCAAGCACCUUUUAAACAUGCUUAAUUGCAUCCAUUAAUACAGCCAGUGUAGGAGUUUGGUUCAGGAACUGAUUUAUCUGGGCUAUUAAAGUCAUAUGACAAUGUGCUGAGGGCCAGAUAUGGAGGUGGUKUGCAGACUGGCACAUACAAGRUUUCUUUAUGUUCUUACAUUGUAUUAGCUGCCCACCAAGUUCUUUACGCCUACUCAGUUGGCAGGUAAGGGAUGCUGGGGCGGUGUAAUUUACGUGGUAAGCUCAUCUUACCAUAUAAGCAUUAAGAACAUAUAAUUGAAAUGCACCUCUCCUURUUUGAACUUGCUUCUUUUCUUCUGUCCUACUUUGUAUUUGCACUCUGUUCAAUACUACAGGCCACAGACCUUAUUUGCAUGACUGGAUGUUUACAGAAAAGUUAAUUUUCUUCUUCAACUGGUAGCAURAAUAUUGGGGAAAGCAGAGUUUCAUAUGGAUUUAACCAUGGAGCAAAAUCUCUCAUUUACCUGAAAUAGAUGUAUAGGGAGARUUCAGGGGAAGAAGGCAAACUGGGAUUGGCUCGAGAAAUGAUCUGGAAAAGUGAGCUGUGGAAGGAGCAGCCACUGUUGGGAUUUAAAGAACAUGUCAACCUGCAUGAUGAACAUUUGUAUUUGUCUGUGUAACUCCAGUGGCAACCAGCGACAGGACAUGAGGUCAUGGAAUGAAGCUGGGCCAGGGGAAGUUCACACUGGAAUUUUGGAGAAGGUUCUUUCCUGAGAGGAUGGUUCGUUGGUCACCAGAACAGGAAAGCCAGGAAAGUCUUCACAGCUCCAAGCCUGCCAGAGUUCCAGGAACAUCUCGUCAUCGAGUUUAGUUUUAGGUGGUCCUGUGAUGAGCAGGGAGUUGGACCUGAGGAUCAUUAUGGGUUGAUUCCAGCUUGACAUAUUCCACUAUUCUAACUCUAGCAAUUUUUUUUCAUUAGCUGAACUAAUUUU
Long non-coding RNA from Malurus melanocephalus (red-backed fairy wren), 5097 nucleotides. RefSeq lists it as uncharacterized. The record is from RefSeq and is a predicted model, not a curated record. NCBI's taxonomy places the organism in Eukaryota, Metazoa, Chordata, Aves, Passeriformes, Maluridae. The transcript has 4 exons.